RNAcentral lists this transfer RNA (71 nucleotides) under Chloracris brunneri. Its description in RNAcentral is "tRNA-Lys". Lineage: Eukaryota; Metazoa; Arthropoda; Insecta; Orthoptera; Tettigoniidae. The record is from RNAcentral.
CAUUAGAUGACUGAAAGUAAGUACUGGUCUCUUAAACCACAUAAUAGUAAAUUAACGUCUACUUCUAAUGA